Molecule: non-coding RNA, 552 nt
Organism: Pelobates cultripes (western spadefoot toad)
Lineage: Eukaryota; Metazoa; Chordata; Amphibia; Anura; Pelobatidae
Source: the annotation of a GenBank genome assembly
AUCUUUGCAAGGCAGAUGCAGGGCGGGUGUAACAAGAUUCACUUAUAAAAGUGCCAAUUUCUGUUGAAAUCUUUACGUUUUGUAAAAGAACAAAAAAAGGCAGACUUCGUGUUUUAGUGACUGGAGUGUCUCUUUAAAGUAUGCAUGCAGCAUCCACAUGAUUACAUUGUAAGUUCUCUAGCCAGAUAAUACACAUAUGCAGGGUAUAUACACUAUACCUGGCGUGACAAAAAUUAACUCUUCCCCCCCCCGUUGUAGAAUUACAACCCCAGUGCUGCUUUGCAAGUCUGGCCAUCCCUGUGUUUUACCAAACUACAGCUGCCUGAUGGUCUUGGUACCAUUCAUCUCUGGAUGCUACAGACAUCUCUGAAGAAGCUCUACUUUCCUGGAUUUUGAAUGUAAAAUAAUGGACAUUAUCUCGGAUUUUACUCAGGAUAUGAAUAUAUAUCUGUGAAUAUAUUUAGCCCUCUUAUUGCCGUAGGGUUUUGGCUGCAUUGAUUACUAUACAUCUAAUCCUUUGAGAUUUUACUAGGAUGCUUUCAAUGAUCCAGC